CAACCGAAUAUAUCACUUUGAGUACAAUCUUGAUGCUGAAAAUACGAGGGAAAUAUUUGUGUCUGCAAAAAGUUUUAGAUGGAAGAACCAAGAAAACUGGUCGUUUUCUGCUUGAUUGUUCUAGCAACUGUUGUCGAUGAUCUGUUUGGUGACGCAGCUUCUGUGAGAAAGAUCGCUCUAAAUGAACCAAGGUAUAUAUUAGGCCGGAAAUUCAGCCAGGUUCAUGUUUUGACCAAUUCUGGACCGGUCUCUGCAGACUAUUGGACGUUUUACGUUCCUCCAAAAUUUGUUUUGAAUCUAGCAUUCAUUAAUUACACCGCAGAGACUUCAUCUACAAGCACGUACUGCAAAGAACAUUAUGCUUCAGUCACGGUAUUCAAUGCUGAGCAUGGGACUUCGCACACUCUGCCGCCAUAUUGCGGGCAGAGAAGAAACGGUAUAAAGGUCAACGGGACGGUGGGCAUUCACCUUGUUAAAAGUGGUUUCUCGGGAGGUAUCUCAAUGACUGUUGUCACAGAGCCUUCCACAAAGAAUUGCGGUGGCUUCUUCAGUAAUUCAUCAGUUGGGGUGCCUUUAAACUUCAAUCUUCAUGAGUUUCCAUCCAAGGAUACUCUUAUCCAUUGUACCUGGUUCUUUGAGUUUCAAACUUCACAAACGUUGAGGUUUCUCAUAUCUCGAAUGGUAUUACUUCAUGACGCAACGCCUCUAUGUUCGUAUUACAAGGAAUUUAUCGCAAUACGCUCACUAGAUGAAAGAACGGGAGAGGAGAAAAAUGUUUUUCUUCAAUGCAAACCAGGUUUUCAAACAUUACCUAUGGUUUUAUCGCAAAUUGCAAGCAGAAAAUUUGCGAUAACUGUACAUACAGAGAGAACUGUCGUAUGGAAGGUUGGGAUAGUCAAUGGUGUUUGUUUUUUUGAAACAAAAGGAAAAGAGGGUGCCCUCAUCGAAGUAUACGCUCCUGGUAAAAGACCAUUAGCUGUGACGUCACAAGCAAAUACAACUGGUUCCAUCAUUAACACUUUGUUUCUUCUGAAACCUAAAUAUUCAGGAACUCAAGUUUUCUUUGUCUUGAAUAACCUGGAGCCUGUUUGCAUUCGAGGCAAAAUAGAUGCUUGGACAAUUGUAAAUAGUUAUCUUGGCCGCGUCCCGGAUCUUUGUAAAACUCUGGAGAGCAAUGGAUUGAUGUCUGGAAAGGUUGAUACCAUGUUUACCAUACAUAUUCAUGGCGAGCUACGUCAUCUAGAAAGGGCGAUGAUAAACUAUUUCCCGACAAAUGCAGGCUGUGGAGGUGUUUUCAGUCUUGCUCAUGGCCAGAGGCAAAUUAUUGCUUCACCCAUGACAGCAUCAAGGUCAUACCCUGCAAAUACAUAUUGCCAAUGGUCUUUUGUAGCUAGCAGCAAUACUUUCCUGAAUAUAACUAUUACAUCAAUGGAUUUAGAACCUUGCUUUACUACCUUUAGUGAUUACGUCGAAAUAUUCAGUGGGUUUCGAACUCCACUGCAGCUUCAUUACAAGAUAUGUCACAUUCCGGCAACAGAUAUGAAAAUACUUGGAGAUAUGACUAUUCGCUUUUACAGUGAUGAUAUCUUGCAAAUGGAUGGCUUCGUCAUGAUAGUGACAGCAUAUAAUGGUGGAGAGAGCACAACGAGAAUCCCAGAUGUUACUUCUAUGGUCACAAACGAAGUCCCCAGACCUUCAACUUCUGUCACAACAGUCAUCAAAACUGAAUUUACGAAGUUUUCCUCUAAAAAGACUACGAAAACCAAAAAGCCCUGCUGCAAGAGCACGUCAAGCCUGACAAAUUCUAUAGCAAGUAGAAAACAUCGUCGUCAAUCAACAACGGCUGUCGUCAAAAAAAAGACUGUUAAUGGUAGGGUGGCAUUGUCCAGUAAUAAUCUUAAUACCAUCAGUAUAGCAUUUGGAGCCGGAGCUGUGAUCAUUGUGGUUAUCAUCAUCAUCUUGCUAAAACGAAGGAAAAGGGCAAAUCCUUCUUACUCGAAAUCCAACAACACUUCAUCCAACAAUUUUGAUACAGACACAGGAAGUCGCAUUAUUCAUAGGGAUAAAAAGUCUUUUUGUGAACAAUAUCCAUUGGAAAAUAUUUACAGCAAUCCUUCAGAUGAAAGCGCAAAAGUUGCGGAAAAACCACCAGACGUCAUCUACGCUAACACGAUGUCCUGUUUGCCGGCUAUAAAUCGAAGCCCAGAGUCUGGUGGUGCCAUUGUUUACGAAACGAUGAAUGCACAACCAAUCAAAGAAUCUGAACAGAUACCGGACCAGUAUAUUUGUCCGGAUUCUCAGCAAAACAAGUCCGGUGAUAAUCAGACUUGCAUUGUCAGCGUUACAGCAAACCCUACUUGUGAAGGAGGUGAAUACCAAAGUACAAUCACAUACGAGGCCAUGAAUGGACUGGAGGUUCCUCGAUCAUCAUCUAACAACAUUAACAGUGGUGUAUACGUCAACCCUAGCAAGCUAUGAACCAUGAUAACAUUUAAAUUUUACGUCUAAUCGGCACAAAUUUCUUAACAACUUUGAGUUGCAUUAUGUAUAAACAAAUCUACUGUACAGAAUCUGUAAUGAAUAUACAAUAUUCAUUAGCUAUUAAGAAGAUGCUAGAAAAUCUUGUUGCUCCCGUUGGCUGCACUGUACCUCGUGUAACAAUAUUUGUCAACGGUACCAAGGACCGCUAUUUGAACGCUUUUUUAGCAAAGAUUCAUAAUUAGCAAUGACUUUUUUACUUUUAACCACAUAACCUAAAAGAACACCAUGAAAUUCCUCUGAUAGUGCAAAAAUAAGUUAAUUUGUUGAAAAAUGAUGAAUUGCGAGGUGAUUGGGUGAAUUUGGGUAACUAGGGGCCAAGGGCUAAUUAAGGUCUUAUACAAAAAAAUUGCAAAAAGCUGUAUUGUUUUGCAAAACAGUGUGGGGGCGGGGGCAUGUCACCUGCCCCCCAUUGUCAGAGACCCUGCACUGUUGAAGCUUUGUAACUACUUUCAUAUGAAAUGGAUGCUCAAUAUAAAAAGUUACCUGUUUUAAAUAGUAUUGAAGUUAGCUGUCUGUUGACUUGAACUAAGGAGAUAAUCCCACCAUGGAAAAUUCGUACAGGAUUGGUAGAAAUCCUAUUAUUUUGUCUAACGAUACCUAGAGUUCCUUUUGUUUCGGUGGGAAUCUCGUACGCUAUUUGCAAGAGUGAAUUGCCCCUCAACUUGGAGUAGGUAGAGUCAUUUAAAGAUGACGGAAAUACAGAUAAGCUACAAGCGAUACUUGCACUUGAUUUUUAGUAUGCAAUUAAGUAUACAAAAAACAUUGCUUAUGAAUCACAGCAGAACAAUACAAUCAUGUAGCGAGAAUGGAAAACGAAAUUCUAUCACAUGAGCAUAAACUAGGCCAGUUUAAGCCUUUCAAAUUCAUGUUUACAUAUUUUCCGUCCCAUUGUAUUAGGAAAUUUAUCAAAAAACCUGUAUUUUCUAGGCUUUUGACCUUUUUUGUUUCAUAGACAAAGAUCAACUUUUUUUCUUUCUUACGUAAAUACUGGAGGGGUAUGGGGGGGUGUGACACCCCCAAUCUUUCAUCCAGUCGGAAAUUUGAGGACCGUCGGAAAAUUUAAAGCUGUUGGUAGAAAGCUAGGUUAAUCGGAAAAAAUUUGAAUCAUUUGUUAAGUUUGAAGUUUUGACUCAAAUGACCUUGUGGACUGUAGCUCAAAGAGAAGCAUAAGAAAGGUAUAAGUUCAAAGGAAAACAGUUGUUUGGUAAAAAGCAGGCAGAAUGAGAGGCUACGCAAUACAGAAACAACGUUUUGUAUGAAAAUGCAAGUAUUUUCAACUACAUUCGUCGUAUUGGGGAUAGUGUGAUAAUCGUUCCAGCAAAUUGCUUCUAAAAACGGGAUACGAAAUAGAAUUUUUUAAAUAAUAUUUAACAGUAAUGCUUAAAGAAGCGCAGUACAUUUCCAAUGACUUGUCAAGAACUUUCUCCGUUCGAGAUCGACCGAUGUAACAUAGGCGGCACCAGGUGGAGAGCUGGGGGCUUCAGCCCCCCCACCAACCACUUUUUUGCAAAAAUGUAUUUUAAGCAAAUAAAAUGGGGAAAGGAAAAAGUAUAAAGAAAAGAAUCAUCCGAUAAAUCCUUUAGUGGCUUAAAUUCCAAGGAAUACGCCGAGGUAUAUGGGACCUCAUAAAGCAAUGAAUUCAACUUUAAGACUGGAAUUAAUCAAACAUAAUAAGAGCAUGCCUUAAAAGUAACAAAACGUUUUAAAGGAUUGCAAGAAAAUACCUGCAAGAAAUAUUCUGAAAUGUAUUUUAAGCUAGUCUAAAAGGAGUGGUUGUGAAAGUUGUCUGCUUGCUUCGCUCGCAGGGAAGCCACUCCUGACGAAUAUCCCUAAGGCCUCCGCUACCCUCCCGCUGGCCCCCUUUCUAGAAGGAGAAAAAUUAACACCUGAUUUUUGGACUACGUAUGUUUUAAUGCAUUAAUUAAACUAACAGUCUUUAUGCUCGAUCUUCCAAAUUUACGAAAUCUAGAAACUUUAUCAUACAGCUGAAUAAUUAUUUACGAGACAAUUUAUAAGGUUUUGUUGGUAAAAAAAUAUUAAAGUUUACGCCCUCAUACAAAAUUAGAAUUGACCUUUGUCAGUCAGAAAUUUUGAGCCCUUCACCCCCCAAAAAAUAUCUGCCAAUUUUCGUCCCUGACCCGAGCCAGCCUUAAACCCUAAGAAUGCAGGUGACAAAAAUAAACAGAGAUGCUCAAAACACAAGAAAUAUGCGCAGCGUGAUUCAAUGCCAAAAAUCCUCUUGGAUAAGAGCCUCAUUAUCCAAAUCUUUCAGGUUUCUACCGUGAUCAGAAGCAGAAAAGGGUUUUGUCAAUUACAAGUUUUUGUUCUUCGUCAAAGUUCUAGCUAUCUACUUCUCGUGAGGGUUAAAGGGUAGUUUGCAAUGCCUUUGAAAUAUCCCUUCAAAUAGAAGUUGAUUGAAAGUGAAAAUGGGCAGAUUGUUUUGGAAAUGACAGUUUUGCUUUCAUCUUACUGUAGUUGUUUUUUGCAAAAUUCAGUCAUAUUUGUAUAUUUUAUUCCUAUCAAUUAUUGAUUAAAUUCACAGAAAAAGAAAAUCUUUGAACACCCACUAUUGUUCUCUGCCGCCAACUUCAUGAUUACCUAGGAAACAUCCCUUUCUUUUACAUUGAUCUGUUUAGUAGACGGUCUUUCUCUGUGAUUAUUUUUCUUAGAAUAAUGUAACAAAAUUUGUAAACUUGAUCAUGUCAUUUUGAUUGUUUUCUGUUUUUUGAUACUUUUCUGGUUAUUUUCCAUCAUUUUAGAAAUGAAUGUGAUUCCCUUCUUUAAUUGCUUAAUCAAGCCAUUGUUUGAAGAUAUCUAAUGUCAAUAGCGUCAGGAAGUCCUUGAGAAAUAUGACAAGCAACUCAAAGGAUGUCCUGCGUCCUGCGUUAUCUUUUCACGAACACGGAAGUAAAUAGAGACAAAACGAAGGUUGUUUUGGCUUCAGAGCUCCUGCGGUCAUGCAUGCAACGAAAGGCUAGACUAAAGAAAAGAUUUCUUCACCUAUUCAGUUUAUGAACCUUUUGAUUCGGAAUGCUUUAUCAACAUGAAGAUAUCUGCCAUAUUGUCAACCGCAAAAUGACAAUAUUUCUCCUCAUUAUAUCAAGCAUUGUUACGGGUACGUUUAGUGCUGCAACCUGUGGGGAAAAUAUCACUGCCAGGGUGCCACGAUACAACGUUGGUGAACAAUUUGGUGAAAUAUACGUGAUUUCGUCGCCUACUGCAUCGAAUGUGACAUAUUGCAAAUGGACAUUCUCAA
Molecule: RNA transcript, 5797 nt
Organism: Rhopilema esculentum
Lineage: Eukaryota; Metazoa; Cnidaria; Scyphozoa; Rhizostomeae; Rhizostomatidae
Gene name: cubilin homolog
Source: RefSeq, a predicted model, not a curated record